Non-coding RNA from Oryctolagus cuniculus (rabbit), 1735 nucleotides. NCBI's taxonomy places the organism in Eukaryota, Metazoa, Chordata, Mammalia, Lagomorpha, Leporidae. The record is from RefSeq and is a predicted model, not a curated record.
UGUCAGCAUUCGUCUUUUUAUCCUUGAACUUGUUGCGUCAUGACUGAGACAGCUCCUAACAGGUCAUCUUCACCCAACCACAUCAAAACAGACAAGAAAAGAGCUUGUCUGCCUUGCCUCUGCACCUUCAUCGAGGAGGAACUGUUUCUUCCCCAGAACACCCAAGAGACCAGCUCUCGCCUCAUUGGCCAGCACUGGAUAGAGCAUAACAGAAGCUGGGAAGUUAAUUCUAGACCAUAAAUUCCAAGUGACAGAGCCAUGGCAUAGAUAAUCUAAGUGAAUAUUUGAAGUGUCUCAGUUCUGGAUGGAGUUGAGUUUGAAGAGAUAUAGUUCAACCAGUUCUGGAUGAAGUGGGUUUGAAGAGGUAGAGUUCAACAGCCAAAGUUCACUUCAUGUGGUUACGGAUCUGGAGACACAGCUUCUGUCCAUACUCUGAACAUCUGGGAAAGGGACUAGCAAACCACUGUGCAGCCAGUUCCUUCAAGGGAUCCAUCACCAACAAGCUACCAUCAGAAGAAUUUCAAGAAUAGUCCCUGAAUGGUACUGACACCUCUGAGGCCAGUGUGUCAGUGAUGAGCUGAAGGCAGAAGAUAAAAGUUGAUCAUCAGCGCGAUGUGCCAGCCGCAGCGCACCGGCCGCAGCAGCCAUUGGAGGGUGAACCAACGGUCUGUGAAGUGGAAAUUCUGCAGGUACCAAAAGAAAAGGCACACUUUUGGACUUAAAAGUAUGUCCUGAUUAUCAAAUCCACUUCCCAUAUAAAUCCUCCAAAACCAGAUCAUAACAUAAAGCUAGUGGCUUGAACAGGCAUGGUGAGCCGUCCAAAAGCCUGAAUAAAAAUGCUUCAUACUUUUUGUAAUAAGAGCUUGUCAAGAAGUCCAAAAUUAGUACUUCAGAUCAGUUUAUUUGGAGAAGCACUAGCCAGUGAUCUUGGAACACGACUGGCCCUGUGAAGUAAUGAUCUGAUUCUUAAUAAAAAGCUUGAAAACCCCAUGUGUUCAAUUGAUAACAUACAGCAUCUUUCUAAAUCCAAACCUGAGAAUAAGAGAGGUGGAGCAAUAGCUUACAUCCACUGGCUUAUCUCUCUAUAUAUGCCCAGAAGGAGCAGGACCAGGCUGAAGCCUAAACCUGGGCGCUGUGAACACAAUCCAGGUCUCCAAAGUGGGUGGCAUGAACCUAAUCACUUGGGUCAUCACCGUUAAGUCCCGGAGCCCACCUUAGUAGGAAGCUAGAGUCAGGACAGGGAGACAGGUAUCAAAUCCAUACACUCCAGUAUAGGAUGCAGUUGUCCUAACCAGUAGGCCAAACACUCUACCAUAAACUUUUGGAAGUACCUUCAUACACCCAGGAGUGGAAGUGCUGAGAUACGGAGCAUGCAGAUGUGCAAUUACAGGAAAAAAUGUCAAGCUUUUCCAAAAGAGUUUAUCUGUAACGUAUGAAAAAACUUGUAAAUGUACACUUGUUAUUAUCAGAUUUUUAUACCUUUGGGCUCCAGUGGAGUUAAAAUGGUAUCAUAUUAUGAUAUUAAUAAACAUGUUAUUUAAAAGCAAAAGCUUUCCUCCAUUUCCAAUUUUUCAGCUAUGGUAUACAUUUCAAAGUAUGUUAGUGGUUAUAGAUCAACAUGGUGAUUAAUUAGAAAAUGAUACAUUUGUUACUUGGAACUAAUCUCUCACAUCAUUCCAGGCACAGCCAGGACUAUGAUAUAUGAUCAUUAUGGCCAGUAUAUGCUUUGCUAAUA